Molecule: long non-coding RNA, 434 nt
Filed under: Elaeis guineensis (African oil palm)
Lineage: Eukaryota; Viridiplantae; Streptophyta; Magnoliopsida; Arecales; Arecaceae
Description: long non-coding RNA (EGUI_LNC040982)
Source: RNAcentral
CUUUUCUUCUUCUCUCGUGGGUUCUUUUGGGCCAAAACAGGAAACCGUGAGGUCCCCUCGUUGGUUGGCCGGCCGGCGGCGCAGCCGGUGUGGGGCGGCCGUCGGCAAGAGGAGGGUGACUCGCCGAUAAGAAGAGGGCCAAGAUCGGUGGUCGGCGGCGACCACCGACGUCGAAAAUCAAAGAAAAACGAGCAAAAUAUAGAGGUUCUUUCGCAACAAAAUCCGGCGACUCCGGUCGCCGGCGAGUAUGCACACUGGCAUGGAAAGGAAGGGGGAGAAGAGAGGAAGGGGAGGAGGCUUACCUCCGACGCCGGCGAGGCUUUUCCGACGAGCAAUUGGACGGCACAGGGACGGAUCUUCCGUGAGAAUUUUCCGGCGAUUGCCGCCGACUGAGCUUGUGAUCUUUGGUGGAAGGGAGAGAGGAGGGAUCUCCU